Non-coding RNA from Mycena polygramma, 111 nucleotides. NCBI's taxonomy places the organism in Eukaryota, Fungi, Basidiomycota, Agaricomycetes, Agaricales, Mycenaceae. The record is from the annotation of a GenBank genome assembly.
GGGCGUGUGGUGUAGUGGUAUCACUCAUGCUUUGCAGUAUUUCCGGCCCUAUGUAUAGUACCGGAACACCAUCUUUGUAUGCGGUCCAGGGUUCAAACCCCUGCGCGUCCA